RNAcentral lists this ribosomal RNA (404 nucleotides) under Fusobacteriota bacterium. RNAcentral's name for it is "Fusobacteria bacterium partial 16S ribosomal RNA". It matches the Rfam family "Bacterial small subunit ribosomal RNA", at positions 355 to 776 of the family's 1533-position model. Lineage: Bacteria; Fusobacteriati; Fusobacteriota. The record is from RNAcentral.
UGGGGAAUAUUGCACAAUGGAGGGAACUCUGAUGCAGCGACGCCGCGUGAGUGAUGAAGGAAUUCGUUUCGUAAAACUCCGUUCUAUGGGAAGAAAAGGACUGUACCAUAGGAGAAAGCUCCGGCUAAAUACGUGCUAGCAGCCGCGGUAAUACGUAUGGAGCGAGCGUUGUCCGGAAUUAUUGGGCGUAAAGGGUGCGCAGGCGGCUUUACAAGUUGGAUGUGAAAUAUUGUGGCUCAACCACAAACGUGCAUCCAAAACUGCAAAGCUUGAGUUAAGGGGAGGUAAGUGGAAUUCCUGGUGUAGCGGUGGAAUGCGUAGAUAUCAGGAGGAAUACCGGUGGCGAAGGCGACUUACUGGACUUAAACUGACGAUCAGGCACGACAGCGUGGGGAGCAAACAGG